This 393-nucleotide ribosomal RNA is filed under the name Bacillus pumilus. Its description in RNAcentral is "bacterial SSU rRNA". It matches the Rfam family "Bacterial small subunit ribosomal RNA", at positions 974 to 1368 of the family's 1533-position model. Lineage: Bacteria; Bacillati; Bacillota; Bacilli; Caryophanales; Bacillaceae. The record is from RNAcentral.
CCAGGUCUUGACAUCCUCUGACAACCCUAGAGAUAGGGCUUUCCCUUCGGGGACAGAGUGACAGGUGGUGCAUGGUUGUCGUCAGCUCGUGUCGUGAGAUGUUGGGUUAAGUCCCGCAACGAGCGCAACCCUUGAUCUUAGUUGCCAGCAUUUAGUUGGGCACUCUAAGGUGACUGCCGGUGACAAACCGGAGGAAGGUGGGGAUGACGUCAAAUCAUCAUGCCCCUUAUGACCUGGGCUACACACGUGCUACAAUGGACAGAACAAAGGGCUGCGAGACCGCAAGGUUUAGCCAAUCCCAUAAAUCUGUUCUCAGUUCGGAUCGCAGUCUGCAACUCGACUGCGUGAAGCUGGAAUCGCUAGUAAUCGCGGAUCAGCAUGCCGCGGUGAAUA